CAAAGGGGGUGGGGUGUGAUCCCAACUGAAAACAGUCUUCUUGUUGAAGAUUUUGGUUGUAGCUUUAAAUUUCACCUAUCUACAAGAUAUCUGGCCCUUGUGAGAUACCAGCAUGAGGAGAGACACUGCUUGAACAGGCUGCUGGCAGCUAGAGUGAAGAUCAAGAAAGAACCAUCAGUCUCUACUGGGAACGGAUUUGGACUUCACCUCUGGGAUCUUGGCCAUAUCUGGACUUUGCUUAUGUGGUAAACCUUACAGUCAGUGAAAUCAACUCUGAGAGGGAAGAGCGUCUAGAUCCAUUGGGAUCUUGAAUUCUAUCAUAUCCUACAUGGUGUAAAAGACUUCAAGAUCUUCUGUUACAAGGAUUUUUCUAUCAGAAAAAUUAAGGAAAAUUGUACAUGGAAUAUGCAAAAACAAUUAUGUGUAAAGGUAAAAAGGAAUACAUUAUGUAAACCAGUAUGGACCAGAAGUCUUGAAGACCCAAAAAGGGACACAAUAAAAUGAAAAA
Molecule: non-coding RNA, 508 nt
Organism: Monodelphis domestica (gray short-tailed opossum)
Lineage: Eukaryota; Metazoa; Chordata; Mammalia; Didelphimorphia; Didelphidae
Source: RefSeq, a predicted model, not a curated record